RNAcentral lists this unclassified non-coding RNA (338 nucleotides) under soil metagenome. RNAcentral describes it as "partial contains 5.8S ribosomal RNA, internal transcribed spacer 2, and large subunit ribosomal RNA". The stretch from base 1 to 120 matches the Rfam family "5.8S ribosomal RNA", at positions 35 to 154 of the family's 154-position model. The record is from RNAcentral.
GAUGAAGAACGCAGUGAAAUGCGAUAAGUAAUGUGAAUUGCGGAAUUCAGUGAAUCAUCGAAUCUUUGAACGCACAUUGCGCCCGCCAGUAUUCUGGCGGGCAUGCCUGUCUGAGCGUCAUUUCAACCCUCAAGCAACUUCUGCUUGGUGUUGGGGAUCGGCCGUCAAACGCCGCCCCCGAAAUCUAUUGGCGAUCUCGCUGUAGCUUCCUAUGCGUAGUAGUAACAUCUCGCAUCUGGAGAGCGGCGCGGUCAUGCCGUAAAACACCCAACUUCUCAGGUUGACCUCAGAUCAGGUAGGAAUACCCGCUGAACUUAAGCAUAUCAAUAAGCGGAGGA